AGUGAACGCUGGCGGUAGGCCUAACACAUGCCAGUCGAACGGCAGCACAGUAAGAGCUUGCUCUUACGGGUGGCGAGUGGCGGACGGGUGAGGAAUACAUCGGAAUCUACUUUUUCGUGGGGGAUAACGUAGGGAAACUUACGCUAAUACCGCAUACGACCUACGGGUGAAAGCAGGGGAUCUUCGGACCUUGCGCGAUUGAAUGAGCCGAUGUCGGAUUAGCUAGUUGGCGGGGUAAAGGCCCACCAAGGCGACGAUCCGUAGCUGGUCUGAGAGGAUGAUCAGCCGCACUGGAACGGGGACACGGUCCAGACUCCUACGGGAGGCAGCAGUGGGGAAUAUUGGACAAUGGGCGCAAGCCUGAUCCAGCCAUACCGCGUGGGUGAAGAAGGCCUUCGGGUUGUAAAGCCCUUUUGUUGGGAAAGAAAAGCAGCAGGUUAAUACCCCGCUGUUCUGACGGUACCCAAAGAAUAAGCACCGGCUAACUUCGUG
This 492-nucleotide ribosomal RNA is filed under the name uncultured bacterium. RNAcentral's name for it is "partial 16S ribosomal RNA". It matches the Rfam family "Bacterial small subunit ribosomal RNA", at positions 29 to 507 of the family's 1533-position model. The record is from RNAcentral.